Molecule: ribosomal RNA, 384 nt
Filed under: uncultured prokaryote
Description: bacterial SSU rRNA
Rfam family: Archaeal small subunit ribosomal RNA
Source: RNAcentral
GCGAAAACUUUACAAUGCUGGCAACAGCGAUAAGGGAACCUCGAGUGCCGGGUUACAAAUCUGGCUGUCGAGAUGCCUAAAAAGCAUUUCAUAGCAAGGGCCGGGCAAGACCGGUGCCAGCCGCCGCGGUAACACCGGCGGCUCGAGUGGUAACCGUUAUUAUUGGGUCUAAAGGGUCUGUAGCCGGCCGGAUAAGUCUCUUGAGAAAUCUGGCAGCUUAACUGUCAGGCUUUCAGGAGAUACUGUCUGGCUCGAGGCCGGGAGAGGUGAGAGGUACUUCAGGGGUAGGGGUGAAAUCUUGUAAUCCUUGAAGGACCACCAGUGGCGAAGGCGUCUCACCAGAACGGACCUGACGGCAAGGGACGAAAGCUAGGGUAGCGAACG